This 285-nucleotide ribosomal RNA is filed under the name Triticum aestivum (bread wheat). RNAcentral describes it as "partial small subunit ribosomal RNA". The record is from RNAcentral. Lineage: Eukaryota; Viridiplantae; Streptophyta; Magnoliopsida; Poales; Poaceae.
AUGAUCACGUUUCUUAUUAAAUCUGUUUUUGCCUCCAUACCUGUGUAUUAUAUGUCUAAUAUUCUUUUUUCUAAGAAGUUCCUAGAAAAGCUCACUGCGAUUAUAAGAAACUUUUGGUGGACAGGUGUAAGAGAUGAACCUUCUACAAAAAGCUUGUGCCUAAGGGCAUGGGCGGACAUUUGCGUUGACAAGAAAAUUGGCGGCUUAGGCAUCAGGAACUUGCAGGCAAUCAACCAAGGACUUAUUCUUUCGGCGGCAUGGAGGUUGGCAAAAAGAACCACAUAG